RNAcentral lists this ribosomal RNA (1169 nucleotides) under Candidatus Omnitrophota bacterium. Its description in RNAcentral is "bacterial SSU rRNA". It matches the Rfam family "Bacterial small subunit ribosomal RNA", at positions 1 to 1115 of the family's 1533-position model. The record is from RNAcentral. Lineage: Bacteria; Pseudomonadati; Candidatus Omnitrophota.
CCUUUGGAGGGUUUGAUCCUGGCUCAGAGUGAACGCUGGCGGCGUGGAUUAGGCAUGCAAGUCGAGCGAUCUUAUUUUUCUUUUGUUUCGGGGUAACCUGAGGCAGAAGAAAAAUGCGAUAGCGGCAAACGGGUGAGUAACGCGUUGGUAACCUACCUUGAGGAGGAGGGCAGCCCCGUGAAAACGGGGGUAAUACUCCAUGAUCUCGUGGAUCGCAAGAUUCAUGAGCAAAGAUGGCCUCUAUUUAUAAGCUGUCGCCUUAAGAGGGGCCUGCGUCCUAUCAGGUAGUUGGUGAGGUAAUAGCUCACCAAGCCAAAGACGGGUAGCUGGCGUAAGAGCGUGACCAGCCACAUCGGGACUGAGACACUGCCCGGACUCCUACGGGAGGCUGCAGUCGAGAAUCUUUCACAAUGGACGAAAGUCUGAUGAUGCGACGCCGCGUGGGGGAUGACGGUCUUCGGAUUGUAAACCCAUUUUAUUAAGGAGGAACGCUGAAGAGUUAAUAGCUUUUCAGUCUGACUGUACUUGAUGAAUAAGCCACGGCUAACUCCGUGCCAGCAGCCGCGGUAAUACGGAGGUGGCGAGCGUUACUCGGUUUGACUGGGUGUAAAGGGUCCGUAGGCGGCCUUGUAAGUGGAAGGUGAAAUCUUUCGGCUUAACCGAAAAACUGCCUUUUAGACUGCAUGGCUUGAGGAUGGAAGAGGAGAGUGGAACUGUCAGUGUAAAGGUGAAAUUUGUGGAUAUUGACAGGAACGCCCGUGGAGAAGUCGGCUCUCUGGUCCAUAUCUGACGCUGAGGGACGAAAGCUAGGGGAGUGAACAGGAUUAGAUACCCUGGUAAUCCUAGCCGUAAACGAUGGGCACUAGGUGUUCGUCCGUAAGGAUGGGCGCCGCAGCUAACGCAUUAAGUGCCCCACCUGGGGACUACGGCCGCAAGGCUAAAACUCAAAGGAAUUGACGGGGACCCGCACAAGCGGUGGAACACGUGGUUUAAUUCGAUGCUACGCGAGAAACCUUAUCCAAGGCUUGACAUGCAUGAUGUAAUGCCGAUGAAAAUCGGGAUGACCGGUAUCCAAUCCGGAGCUUGCACAGGUGCUGCAUGGCUGUCGUCAGCUCGUGCCGUGAGGUGUUGGGUUAAGUCCCGCAACGAGCGCAACCCUUACCCUUAGU